GAACCCAUCUCGAACUUAGUUUUUCGUCUUUUCGAAGACGAGGAGCAAUUUUGGAAUUCGAGGAUUUGAGUAGUCUCGGAUUGGUUUAUUCCUUUUCCAGCUCGCUGGAGAAGGGAAGUUUUGUCUUCUAAUCCGGGUUACUUGAAAUCGAGGUUUUUGUAUCGUUCCUUUCCUUGGGUUCGUAUUCCUUGGCCUGAAAGCAUAUCUAUUUAGUCCUGUCAAAGGGAUUAUUGCUCUUUGCUGAAAGUGCUGAAGGAGAACCUGAAGGGAGGAAUGUGCCUCGUUUCACAGGGAACUCUCACAA
RNAcentral lists this unclassified non-coding RNA (304 nucleotides) under uncultured Mortierellales. RNAcentral describes it as "sequence contains ITS2". Lineage: Eukaryota; Fungi; Mortierellomycota; Mortierellomycetes; Mortierellales. The record is from RNAcentral.